Molecule: transfer RNA, 64 nt
Filed under: Heterocephalus glaber (naked mole-rat)
Lineage: Eukaryota; Metazoa; Chordata; Mammalia; Rodentia; Bathyergidae
Rfam family: tRNA
About the family: Transfer RNA (tRNA) molecules are approximately 80 nucleotides in length. Their secondary structure includes four short double-helical elements and three loops (D, anti-codon, and T loops).
Source: Rfam by way of RNAcentral
GGUGUAGCUUAGUGGUAAAGCAUUUGCCUAGCAUGCAGGAGUACUUGGGUUUGACCCCAGUACC